Molecule: ribosomal RNA, 491 nt
Filed under: uncultured bacterium
Lineage: Bacteria
Description: partial 16S ribosomal RNA
Rfam family: Bacterial small subunit ribosomal RNA
Source: RNAcentral
AGUGAACGCUGGCGGUAGGCCUAACACAUGCCAGUCGAACGGCAGCACAGUAAGAGCUUGCUCUUACGGGUGGCGAGUGGCGGACGGGUGAGGAGUACAUCGGAAUCUACUUUUUCGUGGGGGAUAACGUAGGGAAACUUACGCUAAUACCGCAUACGACCUACGGGUGAAAGCAGGGGAUCUUCGGACCUUGCGCGAUUGAAUGAGCCGAUGUCGGAUUAGCUAGUUGGCGGGGUAAAGGCCCACCAAGGCGACGAUCCGUAGCUGGUCUGAGAGGAUGAUCAGCCACACUGGAACUGAGACACGGUCCAGACUCCUACGGGAGGCAGCAGUGGGGAAUAUUGGACAAUGGGCGCAAGCCUGAUCCAGCCAUACCGCGUGGGUGAAGAAGGCCUUCGGGUUGUAAAGCCCUUUUGUUGGGAAAGAAAAGCAGCAGGUUAAUACCCCGCUGUUCUGACGGUACCCAAAGAAUAAGCACCGGCUAACUUCGU